Molecule: ribosomal RNA, 499 nt
Filed under: uncultured Glomeromycotina
Lineage: Eukaryota; Fungi; Glomeromycota
Description: partial small subunit ribosomal RNA
Rfam family: Eukaryotic small subunit ribosomal RNA
Source: RNAcentral
CCAAUAGCGUAUAUUAAAGUUGUUGCAGUUAAAAAGCUCGUAGUUGAAUUUCGGGAUCAGUACGCUGGUCGUGCCUUUGGUAUGCACUGGUGUCACUGGUUCCUCCCUUCUGACGAACCGUCAUGCCAUUUACUUGGUGUGGCGGGAAAUCAGGACUGUUACUUUGAAAAAAUUAGAGUGUUUAAAGCAGGCUCACGCUUGAAUACAUUAGCAUGGAAUAGUGAAAUAGGACGUUGAUCUUAUUUUGUUGGUUUCUAGGAUUGACGUAAUGAUUAAUAGGGAUAGUUGGGGGCAUUAGUAUUCAAUUGUCAGAGGUGAAAUUCUUGGAUUUAUUGAAGACUAACUACUGCGAAAGCAUUUGCCAAGGAUGUUUUCAUUAAUCAAGAACGAAAGUUAGGGGAUCGAAGACGAUCAGAUACCGUCGUAGUCUUAACCAUAAACUAUGCCGACUAGGGAUCGGAUGAUGUUAAUUUUUUAAUGACUCAUUCGGCGCCUUACG